AAGGAACUGUUAUUUUGACAGGAAAAUACAAAGAAUAUCGGUUACAUACCAUUCAGAAUUGACGCGCUACAUGGACAAAUAGAUAUCUAAUCUCCAUUAAAUAUCAACUAAUGCAUCAGAGUUUAAAUCAGCAUACGGAUGUCUGUCACUCCUUCUGACCUUGAGAAGAUGGGUAACUUGCCUGUGACUCCUUGCUUGAUCCUUCAUAAUACUUUAUUGAAAUAAAACCAGAAAAAAGGAUCAAAGCUGCAUGGAGAAUAGAGGUGUCUAAAAUAACUGGUAAAACUGCAGAAGACGACCAAGAUGACAAAGAAGACCAUCAGUCCAGAAGUAUCUCAACCUUAUGCUGUCUCAAACCAGUAAACCAUAUUGGAGUUUAUAUUGGCAAAUGCUGAUUUGUAUUUCAUUA
Long non-coding RNA from Onychostoma macrolepis, 409 nucleotides. RefSeq lists it as uncharacterized. Lineage: Eukaryota; Metazoa; Chordata; Actinopteri; Cypriniformes; Cyprinidae. The record is from RefSeq and is a predicted model, not a curated record. The transcript has 4 exons.